Molecule: long non-coding RNA, 387 nt
Filed under: Arabidopsis lyrata
Lineage: Eukaryota; Viridiplantae; Streptophyta; Magnoliopsida; Brassicales; Brassicaceae
Description: long non-coding RNA (ALYR_LNC002776)
Source: RNAcentral
AUUGGUUGACCAAGGGUUAAUUAAUGCUUCUACACCAAGAGGUCUGGGGUUCGAGUCCCAGAUAUUACGAUUUAUUAAUAAAUUUGCAGAUUAAAAGAGGCAAGUGUGCAGGAGAUCUCAAGCGAAAUACAAUUAUAGCCGUUCACCAGGAUUCUACGCAGAGAGAGAAGUGUCGUCAGGUCGUGGAUCAUUGAAGGUGUUCGUCAAGAGCAUGGAGAAGGAAGUGUUGUCUGUCGUAGAUCUGACAAGGGUCGGAAGGAAUUGUCCGUUGUAGAAUCGUCUAUGUAACAGUUCUCGUAAUUUACAAUAAAUAAUAAAUCUAGACGUCAAAAAAAAAAAAAAAUCAAAUGAUUACAAGACUUGAGAGUUUACCAAACUCAAAGUUUU